Molecule: ribosomal RNA, 253 nt
Filed under: uncultured bacterium
Lineage: Bacteria
Description: partial 16S ribosomal RNA
Rfam family: Bacterial small subunit ribosomal RNA
Source: RNAcentral
UACGAAGGGGGCUAGCGUUGUUCGGAAUUACUGGGCGUAAAGCGCACGUAGGCGGAUUAGAAAGUUGGAGGUGAAAUCCCAGGGCUCAACCUUGGAACUGCCUUCAAAACUUCUAGUCUUGAGUUCGAGAGAGGUGAGUGGAAUUCCGAGUGUAGAGGUGAAAUUCGUAGAUACUCGGAGGAACACCAGUGGCGAAGGCGGCUCACUGGCACGAUACUGACGCUGAGGUGCGAAAGCGUGGGGAGCAAACAGG